Molecule: unclassified non-coding RNA, 357 nt
Filed under: soil metagenome
Description: partial contains 5.8S ribosomal RNA, internal transcribed spacer 2, and large subunit ribosomal RNA
Rfam family: 5.8S ribosomal RNA (bases 1-120)
Source: RNAcentral
GAUGAAGAACGCAGCGAAAUGCGAUAAGUAAUGUGAAUUGCAGAAUUCAGUGAAUCAUCGAAUCUUUGAACGCACAUUGCGCCCGCUGGUAUUCCGGCGGGCAUGCCUGUUCGAGCGUCAUUUCAACCCUCGAGCUCUCCGGAGUUUGGUGUUGGGGCGCCUGGGGCUUUUCGACCUCAGGGCCCUCAAGUCCAUCGGCGGGACCGCCAGGACACUGAGCGCAGUAGUAUUAUUUCGCUCGGUAGGAUCUUCCACGGCGGGUUGAUCUGGCCGCUAAACCCCCCAAUUCUCACCAAAGGUUGACCUCGGAUCAGGUAGGAAUACCCGCUGAACUUAAGCAUAUCAAUAAGCGGAGGA